CAGUCGCCGCGGUAAUACGUAGGUGGCGAGCAUUGUCCGGAAUUAUUGGGCGUAAAGGGAGCGCAGGCGGACAUAUAAGUCCAUCCUAAAAGUGCGGGGCUCAACCCCGUGAGGGGAUGGAAACUGUAUGCCUUGAGUGCAGGAGAGGAAAGCGGAAUUCCCAGUGUAGCGGUGAAAUGCGUAGAUAUUGGGAGGAACACCAGUGGCGAAGGCGGCUUUCUGGACUGCAACUGACGCUGAGGCUCGAAAGCCAGGGGAGCGAACGGGAUUAGAUACCCGAGUAGUCCCUGUCUCUUAUACA
Molecule: ribosomal RNA, 301 nt
Filed under: uncultured bacterium
Lineage: Bacteria
Description: partial 16S ribosomal RNA
Rfam family: Bacterial small subunit ribosomal RNA
Source: RNAcentral